Molecule: non-coding RNA, 69 nt
Organism: Pangasianodon gigas (Mekong giant catfish)
Lineage: Eukaryota; Metazoa; Chordata; Actinopteri; Siluriformes; Pangasiidae
Source: the annotation of a GenBank genome assembly
AUUUUGGACUAGUGGUUAGGCCUCAGUGCUCUUAACGCUGUGGCCUAGGUUCGAUUUCCAGCCAGGGAA